GCUACGGUAUAUAUUAGAAGACUGAGAUUCGAGUCUUGGCUUGGCCGUCAAUUCGCUCUGAGACUUUGGGCAGGCCUCAUCACCUGCUAAGCCCUUGUUUUCUCAUUUGUAAAAUGAGGGGCCUGGGGUAAACGACCUCUAAAUUCCUUUUUACUACCAAGUCUAACAUUGCCAGAUUGCCUUUUAGGUUCACUAACAAGUAUAUUUCAGGAAGAAUCAGCCACAAAACCACUGGUAUGUGUGUACUGUAAGAGAUGAUGAGUCAUCCUAAGGAAUUCCAAAACUCUUGGUUAGGGAAGAAACAAUAAGCAACAGUGAAUAAUGAGCUGGAAACUUCAGCUUAAAAGCUUCUUGAAUCUUCAAGUCUGAAAUCACUCUUUAUCCCUGGUGGCAGGGAGCAGAAACUCACUUCUAUCCAAGAGGGAGAAAUGGAAAGAGGGAUUGACUCCAUUCACCUGCCCAGGUCACAGCACGGAUCCGCACUCCCAGCGUUCUGAGCCGCCACACUACUCUCUCAACCCUCCAGCAGGAGAACUCUCUCUAGUUUCGUGGAGUUGUUCUUGGAAUGCUUCUGUGCAAUACGAAUACAUGAGCUUGAGUGGCUGAGCACACCAGAAAAUGCCUUCUAGAACGCAUGGAGUUGUGCUGGGCUAUAUGGCCAUGGUCUUCCUUUACUACCACAAAGCUGAAUCUUGGAGACAUCAGUCAGGUGCUGUGGCCAGAGAAAUGUCAACAAGAUUUUCCAAAUGUUUUCUUGUAGCCACCACAUUCUAAGUUUCUGCUUUGUGUUUCAUCUGGGCCCCAACCUUGAGAACUUCCUACUCACAGAAAGAAGACUGUUUCUGCUCUAAGGAAAGGGCCUUCUGGGUGACAGGGCAGUCUAGGUCCCCAGCUCCUCAUGUGGCUGAGGCACCAGAGAAUAAGGAAACCAUACCCCAUGCUCGUUCCUGCCUCUGUACACAAGAGCUCCCUCCCUGAGAGGUCCCCCACAUCAAUCUGUAUCUUCCCUCUUAUUGCCUCUCACUCUAACCAUUCCCUCCUUUAGUUCUAGACUCUGUUUUAUAAAUGUCACUAACUCUUUCCCUGGGGGCAUGUUGUAGAAACUUAGACAUCCUGACAUUAUGGGUUGUGUCCUAUAGGACCUCAUAUAGGGUUUCAUAUAGGGCACCCAAGCCACAACUGGGAAUGGAGGUCCAUUCUAGGAGCUAGGAAUGUUCGCACACAGAGAGCAGACAUGUGGGUGGGUCACAAAAUGGGGUCUCAUUUGUUUAGCUGGAAGAGUCCCUAGGCAUCAUUCAGCAGUCCCCACAACUGGCUGAGUGUCAGAAUCCACUAGGAGGUGCGCAUUAAUAAUGCAAAGUUCUAGGCCCCAUUCCUAGAGAUUCUGAUUCAGGAGGUCAGAAGGGAGGGCAGGCAUCUGCAAUAUAAAUAAGCAACCUGUUCCAUUCCUGCACCUUCCCCGCCCCACCAUCCACAGAAGCUGGCUAAUACUGUGGGAACCACUCUUUGAGCUCUCCGUUCAAAACAAAGGAGAGGGAUCUUUGAUCCAGAGGGCUGACUAUGCUCAGGCCAUCAGUGGGAGACAAGACUAAAGCCCCAGUUGCCUGGGUCCUCGUGUGUGGGUUCUGUCACUUCUCAUGGCCUCCAGGGAUCUCCGGCACUCUCUCUCUUCCUAUGUCAGAGUGGGAGGUCCUCUACAGCCUCCCCUAACACAACUGCCCAUGCAAAAGAAAGGCUUCCGUGACAGAGGCCAGCCAGGACUAGAAGAGUUACUGUACUGAAUAUCAUCCACUAAACAAGUCCUCUUGGUCCUUUCUGAAAUACGGCGUGGCGUUACAUCAAAAACUUCAUCACAGCGCACUCACAGGUGACCCCUCCCGUAUGGACACAGAGCAUUUGCUCUCAAGCCGGGAAGCCAAUACCUGCUGCCCCUGAGGUUUCUCAGGACAGGCACAGGUGCUUGUCGGCUCCAGCUGGGACCUGAGGGCAGUGUCUGGGGUAAGUCUAUCCCCAUGAAAGCUUUCCCUGGGAAAAACCUGGACUCUCACUGGCUUCUCAGGCCCUACCAUACUGGUAUGGUCACAAUGCUGUUUGGGUCCCCAGAAUGCAAAUUAAGUUUAAUUCCACAAAUGAA
Non-coding RNA from Leptonychotes weddellii (Weddell seal), 2134 nucleotides. The record is from RefSeq and is a predicted model, not a curated record. NCBI's taxonomy places the organism in Eukaryota, Metazoa, Chordata, Mammalia, Carnivora, Phocidae.